RNAcentral lists this ribosomal RNA (460 nucleotides) under uncultured bacterium. RNAcentral describes it as "partial 16S ribosomal RNA". It matches the Rfam family "Bacterial small subunit ribosomal RNA", at positions 338 to 795 of the family's 1533-position model. The record is from RNAcentral.
CCUACGGGUGGCUGCAGUGAGGAAUAUUGGUCAAUGGACGAGAGUCUGAACCAGCCAAGUAGCGUGAAGGAUGACUGCCCUAUGGGUUGUAAACUUCUUUUAUAUGGGAAUAAAAUGUUCCACGUGUGGGAUUUUGUAUGUACCAUAUGAAUAAGGAUCGGCUAACUCCGUGCCAGCAGCCGCGGUAAUACGGAGGAUCCGAGCGUUAUCCGGAUUGAUUGGGUGUAAAGGGAGCGUAGGUGGAUUGUUAAGUCAGUUGUGAAAGGUUGCGGCGCAACCGGAAAAUUGCAGUUGAGACUGGCAGUCUAGAGUACAGUAGAGGUAGGCGGAAUUCGUGGUGUAGCGGUGAAAUGCUUAGAUAUCACGAAGAACUCCGAUUGCGAAGGCAGUUCACUGGACUGCAACUGACACUGAGGCUCGAAAGUGUGGGUAUCAAACAGGAUUAGAUACCCGAGUAGUC